GUGGUUUUAGCUCAGCUGGUUAGAGCGCCAGAUUGUGGUUCUGGAGGUCGCCGGUUCGAUCCCGGUAAGCCACCCCU
Molecule: transfer RNA, 77 nt
Filed under: Planctopirus limnophila DSM 3776
Lineage: Bacteria; Pseudomonadati; Planctomycetota; Planctomycetia; Planctomycetales; Planctomycetaceae
Also listed under: 1 other name
Description: tRNA-His
Rfam family: tRNA
About the family: Transfer RNA (tRNA) molecules are approximately 80 nucleotides in length. Their secondary structure includes four short double-helical elements and three loops (D, anti-codon, and T loops).
Source: RNAcentral